Molecule: long non-coding RNA, 487 nt
Organism: Leopardus geoffroyi (Geoffroy's cat)
Lineage: Eukaryota; Metazoa; Chordata; Mammalia; Carnivora; Felidae
Exons: 2
Source: RefSeq, a predicted model, not a curated record
CUCAUGUUGGGAUGAAACAAGUUUGUCUUCUAGGAAUUGCCAUUAAUCCAGAUCCUCCAGCCACUAAGUGUAAAGCCGAGAUGGUACCCGUAUGUUUGAUUCCAAAGACCUUGUCCUCCAAGGCCCCCAGCCUCGGGUUCACGAACGGCAAUCUGUGAGCAGCAGGAAGUCAUCCAAGGCCUUUGAGUAGUCAGUCAGUCAGCAGUUUGAGCUUUCCUUGUGUGGAAUUCCAAAUAGCACCUGGGGGGUCUAAGUGGCUCAAAUCGAGACUACAUGAUGGUUUUUUGUUUUUGUUUGUUCCUUUAUUUGCAGGGACCUAUCUAUCUGUACCUUAAUAAUUGGAGGAGAGAAAUAAAAUAAAAAGGCCCUGGAAGACAAGUGUAAUUCAUUGAGGUCUGUGAAAGCAACAAAGGAAGCAAAAGUCAAACAGCUGAAGGAGAAAGCACAUAACCUGGAAGAAUUCUAUGAACAAAGAAAAGUGCCUACA